RNAcentral lists this ribosomal RNA (541 nucleotides) under uncultured bacterium. RNAcentral's name for it is "partial 16S ribosomal RNA". It matches the Rfam family "Bacterial small subunit ribosomal RNA", at positions 355 to 885 of the family's 1533-position model. The record is from RNAcentral.
UGGGGAAUAUUGCACAAUGGGCGCAAGCCUGAUGCAGCCAUGCCGCGUGUGUGAAGAAGGCCUUCGGGUUGUAAAGCACUUUCAGCGAGGAGGAAGGUGGUGAACUUAAUACGUUCAUCAAUUGACGUUACUCGCAGAAGAAGCACCGGCUAACUCCGUGCCAGCAGCCGCGGUAAUACGGAGGGUGCAAGCGUUAAUCGGAAUUACUGGGCGUAAAGCGCACGCAGGCGGUUUGUUAAGUCAGAUGUGAAAUCCCCGGGCUCAACCUGGGAACUGCAUUUGAAACUGGCAAGCUAGAGUCUCGUAGAGGGGGGUAGAAUUCCAGGUGUAGCGGUGAAAUGCGUAGAGAUCUGGAGGAAUACCGGUGGCGAAGGCGGCCCCCUGGACGAAGACUGACGCUCAGGUGCGAAAGCGUGGGGAGCAAACAGGAUUAGAUACCCCUGGUAGUCCACGCUGUAAACGAUGUCGAUUUUGGAGGUUGUGCCCCUUGAGGCGUGGCUUCCGGAGCUAACGCGUUAAAUCGACCGCCUGGGGAGUACGG